ACGAACGCUGGCGGCGUGCUUAACACAUGCAGGUCGAGCGGAAAGGCCCUUCGGGGUACUCGAGCGGCGAACGGGUGAGUAACACGUGAGUAACCUGCCCCAGACUUUGGGAUAACCCUCGGAAACGGGGGCUAAUACCGGAUACGACACAGCUUCGCAUGGGGUCUGUGUGGAAAGUUUUUCGGUUUGGGAUGGGCUCGCGGCCUAUCAGCUUGUUGGUGGGGUGAUGGCCUACCAAGGCGACGACGGGUAGCCGGCCUGAGAGGGCGACCGGCCACACGGGGACUGAGACACGGCCCAGACUCCUACGGGAGGCAGCAGUGGGGAAUAUUGCACAAUGGGCGGAAGCCUGAUGCAGCGACGCCGCGUGAGGGAUGACGGCCUUCGGGUUGUAAACCUCUUUCAGCAGGGACGAAGCGUAAGUGACGGUACCUGCAGAAGAAGCGCCGGCCAACUACG
This 459-nucleotide ribosomal RNA is filed under the name uncultured bacterium. RNAcentral's name for it is "partial 16S ribosomal RNA". It matches the Rfam family "Bacterial small subunit ribosomal RNA", at positions 29 to 505 of the family's 1533-position model. The record is from RNAcentral.